Molecule: ribosomal RNA, 477 nt
Filed under: uncultured bacterium
Lineage: Bacteria
Description: partial 16S ribosomal RNA
Rfam family: Bacterial small subunit ribosomal RNA
Source: RNAcentral
AUGAACGCUGGCGGCGUGCCUAACACAUGCAAGUCGAACGGAGUCCAGCCUUUAAGACCUUCGGGUCAAAGAGGGGAAGACUGAGUGGCGGACGGGUGAGUAACACGUGGGCAACCUGGCUCAUAGAGGGGGAUAACAGAGAGAAAUUUCUGCUAAUACCGCAUAAGCACACACUGCCGCAUGGCAGGGGGUGAAAAGAGAAUCGCUAUGAGAUGGACCCGCGUCUGAUUAGCCAGUUGGCAGGGUAAGAGCCUACCAAAGCGACGAUCAGUAGCCGAUCUGAGAGGAUGAACGGCCACAUUGGGACUGAGACACGGCCCAAACUCCUACGGGAGGCAGCAGUGGGGGAUAUUGCACAAUGGGGGGAACCCUGAUGCAGCGACGCCGCGUGAGUGAAGAAGUAUUUCGGUAUGUAAAGCUCUAUCAGCAGGGAAGAUAAUGACAGUACCUGAAUAAGAAGCCCCGGCUAACUACGUG